ACGAAGCCCAACCUUCAGGGCAAGGCCAAUUGUUCCACCAUCUUAAUGCUCCCACUCAGGUUACAGGCUCACGCUACCAAGCCCAGCAGGCAAUUCUUUUAGCUAGGGACUUAUUAAGUGAACAUAUUCUUCAUCUGGUUUCGAUGUGGGAUAUUGUGCGAGGGCUGGUUUGGCUUUCAUGGGGAAAAAAUGGAGCAGACAACUAUCGUGUACUCAUGGUUUUUGCGGUGUAUCAUAUUGUUCACCAAAACUUAGAGACAUAGCUUGGAAGCUUUGCUUCCCUGAAUGGGAUGGCAGAUAUGAUUGGGUUCUGCUUGCAGCGUCCACUCGCACCCUAUAAGUUUUGCUUCAUUUUCAUUUUCAUCUCACAUUAUUUUCGUACAUGUUUAUUGUUUAGUUUAAAUUGUGGCGGCUAAAGUUUUAGAAAUGAAUUGAAGUUGCAUCAGCGAUGGUCGGAAAAUAGUGAAAGAAGCAUUAUUUGGAAGCCUUGGAUUAUAGCUGCAGAAGCUGCUCAAAGGUCUUAUCUCCAUAGACGGUGAGAUUCAAGAUGACGAAAUUGAGAAGUUGAGUGUACUCUCAAGAAGUUCCCUUGACAACAGGAGUACCAGUGUUACAAUGAGUUCCACCUCAAAUUCACCCAAUUUCAAUAAUGUGCUUCAGACCCUUCAAUUGGAGGGUAAAGUUGGUAAUUGAGGAGGACGUUGAGAGAGAAGAAGCAUCUUUGCAUGAAGAUUUAUAUUCAUCAGACAGAAAACUUACAGAAUAUUACAAUGUUUUGGAGCAGAUACAUAUAAGAGUGGUUAUCAAACUUGUCAAAGAUAUAAAGUUGCAACAUCAGCAUAAAUAUGCAUCGGCAUCAAUAGCAAGAGCAGUGGUACCAGCAUGCUUGAUGAGGAAUUAAGUUGUUGAAGGAGACAAAACAAUAUAAACGAAUGGUUGAGGGGCUUAUAUGUGAAGCAGAGACAUACAUGGCCUGGAAGCUUUAAUUUGCUUCACUGAGUGAAUGGAAUGGCAAAGAUGAUUGGGGUCUGCUGGCAGCGUCCAAUCACACCCUGUCAUGAUCAUGGGGAGAAAAGUGAGAAGAAGAGAACAGAGGGGAAUAAGCAUGAGAAAUGCAGGGAUUGAAGAAGCAGGGAACAAUGAAAGGUUGGUGAAUGUUUUAGAUAUAUAUGCUAUUGCAAAUCAAAAUUAAUUUGGACUUAUCCUACCAGUCUUGAGCUGUAGAGUUUACAUCUGACCAAACUUUUAUUCCACAGAUACAUCCAUCAACUGGGGAGAAAAGAGAGAAGAAGAGAACGGAGGGGAAUGAGCAUGAGAAAUGCAGGGAUUGAAGAAGCUGGAAACAAUGAAAGGUCAGACGACGUUGCUUGAACAAAAGGUUCGUGGGAAUUGCUACAAGCAUUGUAACUAAGCUCAUGGCAAUAUAC
Ipomoea nil (Japanese morning glory) is the source of this 1427-nucleotide long non-coding RNA. RefSeq lists it as uncharacterized. The transcript has 9 exons. The record is from RefSeq and is a predicted model, not a curated record. NCBI's taxonomy places the organism in Eukaryota, Viridiplantae, Streptophyta, Magnoliopsida, Solanales, Convolvulaceae.